This 73-nucleotide transfer RNA is filed under the name Stegodyphus mimosarum. It matches the Rfam family "tRNA". From Rfam's summary of the family: Transfer RNA (tRNA) molecules are approximately 80 nucleotides in length. Their secondary structure includes four short double-helical elements and three loops (D, anti-codon, and T loops). Lineage: Eukaryota; Metazoa; Arthropoda; Arachnida; Araneae; Eresidae. The record is from Rfam by way of RNAcentral.
GCCUUUGUAGUGUAGCAGUCAACACGCUCGAUGCGUAUUCGAGAGGUCCAUGGUUCGAGUCCCGGCGAAGACG